GAAAUAGAGCCCGCGCCUAAAAAGCCCUUUCAUAUCUUCCCCCCUCUCUCUAUAGCUCCAAUCUCUCUCCUUUUCCUCUCCAUUCUCUUUGUAACCAGUUGGUACGGAAUCCUCUUGAAUCCCUCAACCAGAAUCCCCUUUUCCUCUCCAAAACUAAAAUUCACAAAACCCUAAUCUUUCAUUUAUGAAAAAUCUAGAUCUCUUCAAUCUCAAAUCCUCGUUCUCCCUCUAUCUCCCCUAGACUCCUUGAUUUUACAUUCUUUGAAUAUUUAAGGGACAACCUGCAUCAAGAUGACGAGAGACUAGCAGUGGUAAUCGAAAAACAAAAGCAGUCUUCAGAUCUGGAGAUGAGUAGACUUGAUGCAAGGAUCAUGCAGAAUUUGAUGUCAUGCAGCAAUUGGAACGUGAGCUUGAGGCCAUGUCUACCUUUGAUUACUGAGAAGUUACGUUACUCCUCGUGAAGAAGUUCUUGCGGGCACGUUUGGAGGAUUUAGCAGGCAAAGAUACCAAAGAGAAAUCUAAUGCUGCUAUAAAAGACCUUUUUGCGGAGCUUGCAAUGGAGGCCAAAAGCAAUGUCAACAAAGGAGGUGAUGAUUCAAAACAGAUACAGGCAAUGUCAAAGAAAAAGAAGAAGGAUUACAGAAGAGCUAAGAAUCCAAAGGGCAUUGGUCAUGACAAAGAUACUCUCACCCAUCAGGAAACUGAAGAACAAGCGAAGCUGAGGCUACUUUGAAUGCUAAGGAUAUCUAAUCACAAAUACAAAAUCACCUAUGGUUGUAGUACGAAAGUAGCUACAGUAAAGCUAGGGUCCUCAAAGAAUCGUUGUUGAUGUGAUUAUGAUGUCUUCUUGGUUUCCAUUUGCAGAUGUGUGAUUAGGACAUCGAUGUUUUAGGUGGUGGCAACAGCCGGUGGAGUUGGACUAGCCAUCAACUUCACCUCUAUGUGGUUUUUAAACCAAACAGGUCCCACCACGUACAAGUAAGAGUCAUAUGCCACUGAGAGACUACUAAUGAAUAGUCUUCCUAC
Molecule: long non-coding RNA, 1026 nt
Organism: Magnolia sinica
Lineage: Eukaryota; Viridiplantae; Streptophyta; Magnoliopsida; Magnoliales; Magnoliaceae
Exons: 5
Source: RefSeq, a predicted model, not a curated record